GACUUGCAUUUGAUUGGUUGAACAGCCAACAGAAAGGCUCUUUCCUGCAUUUGAGAAUAUGAACUAAGAUACAGAAGCAGCUCCUCUGAGAAAAGAAAGUUGAAAUUAUCGUAAUUUGUCUCUAGGCUGAGAUACCAGCAUGGAGAAAAUGUUGGAGUGUGCAUUCAUAGUCUUGUGGCUUCAGCUUGGCUGGUUGAGUGGAGAAGACCAGGUGACGCAGAGUCCUGAGGCCCUGAGGCUCCAGGAGGGACAGAGUAGCAGUCUCAACUGCAGUUACACAGCCAGCAAUUUAAGAGGGCUGCUCUGGUAUAGGCAAGAUCCUGGGAAAGGCCCUGAAUUCCUCUUCAUCCUGUAUUCAGCUGGGGAAGAAAAGGAGAAAGAAAGGCUAAAAGCCACAUUAACAAAGAAGGAAAGCUUUCUGCACAUCACAGGCCCCAAACCUGAAGACUCAGCCACUUAUCUCUGUGCUGUGCAAGCACAGUGUUCCCCAGGCACCUGCAACUUGUAUCAAAACCCUGCAGCUGCGGAUCUGGAAUGAUGGCAGAGGCAUCUCUGCUGUUCUUCCUCUGGAAGGAGUAUUUAUUUAAAGCCCAGGGCCUUUUUCCAAAUGGUCCUUUGGAGAAUGAAGUCAUGAGACAAAGCCAGAAAGCAGGACUACUGUUCAUUCUGUCUGGGCAUCCUAGACAGUCCCUUGUGCAUGUUCAUGGGUCAGUCUACUCUUAAUAACAUCCCAGAACUUCCCUCACAUAAAUUCAGAAGUGCCAGAUGUAAUAUGAAGAGUCCUGGUUUCCAGUUGUGGACCACUUGGAAAAAGACUGCACAGGUGCAUACACUCCCUGCUGAAAAAAAUGUGUGUAUGUGUCUGUGUUGUCUUACAAUAAUCUGGUUACAUUAAUAUAAGUUAAUCUUUUUAAUAAUAUAGUAUUCUUGAAGCCCACGUCUCCACCAGUCACAUCUCUAUAUUUCUCAUCCCUUUGUCAUCAAAUUACUUGAAGGAAUUGUCUGUACUAAUUCUCUUAAUUUCCAUUCUUCGGUCUCACUCAAAUCUGGCCCCUGUUAAGGUCACUCCAAGGGAAGUUCUCACUUUAACACCAGCGGUUUUGGUAUUGAUAAGGCUAUCAGAUAUUUUUCAGUACUUAUCUUGUCUAAGAUUUUCAGCAGUGUUUCCUCCCUUCUCGUUAAAAUAAAUAUUUUAUUUUUUAUUUUAAUCCAAAUAAUGCUCACAUAUAUUUACAAAAUCCAACAGCACUGUCUGAUACCCCAGUCAGGUCUCCCCAUUCUCAGGUCAUGGUACUCACAUUUAUCUGAACAUUUAAAAAUGUUGUUUCUUUGCUUUCUUCUCUUUCUUUUUGAAAUUGAGUUACAACACAUAAUAAGGUGAAUAAAACUUUAGCUUAUAGCUCAAUGGAAUUUUACACUUCUUUGUAUCUGGGUAACACCAUCCAGACCUACAUACUGAAAUUUUCCAUUACUCCAGAAGAUUCCCACCUGCCCCUUCCAAUUCAACAGCCCUUCCCCAACUCCCCACUUGGAGUAACCACGAUUCUGGCUUUCAUCUCUUGGUCUUAAACUUUGUGUGACUGGAAUUAUAUCGUACAGCCUAUAUUCUACUGUCUUAAUUUCUUCUCUCAAUGCCGUAUCUUUGAAAUUCAUUAAUA
This is a non-coding RNA of Rhinopithecus roxellana (golden snub-nosed monkey), 1658 nucleotides long. The record is from the annotation of a RefSeq genome assembly. NCBI's taxonomy places the organism in Eukaryota, Metazoa, Chordata, Mammalia, Primates, Cercopithecidae.